CGCGCCUCAAUGAGGCGAAUCGAGCACCAGCUUUUAUAAGGAUAUAAAGGUCGGUUGGGAGCCGAUUUAACAGCCGAUAGGUUAUAUGCCAUCCUGGUCGUUUUUUUUUUACACUUAGUUGAGGUUAAAGCAAGAUAAAUGUAGUUCACAUAGGCAAUAUCGCUCACUUAAAUACGGCAGACCAGUAACAUCUUUAGAGAUUUAGAGAUGGCGGGACAUAAUAUGUGGACUAUUUAUUGCACACCUUAUAAAGGUUGGUCGACAACCGAGGGGUUAAGCUCGAGGCAAAUUUCGAGAGGCAGCAUUUUCGAAAUGAGCCUCUCUUGUUGCCAUCGUAGUAUCCACUCGUUUAUUAUUUAUUCGUAGUAGAGUUUCAAAACAAGGUAGAAAAGAUAAAUCUUCUUCUUGUAGUGCCUUUCCACCAUCGGAACUCUCUUUGCAGCGCUCUCUAUUCUUUACUAGUUUAAAUAUUUCUUCCACGGUUUUUACACCGGUCCACUCUUUUAUAUUUAGCCAAUUUCCUCCUUCCAGGCCUUCUCUUUCCUUCUACUUUGCCCAUUUAUAAAUUAAAUCCAUUUUUCUACUUCUAACUCUCUGUAACAAAUGGCAAAGAUAAAUAAACACACGAUUUAGACGUUUGCUUUUGACGUUAACAGUUUUUUUGUAGACAAAUGUCACAGAGUACUUUGUUAAUUGGCAAAUGCAUUAUGUGCAUAACUCCCAAAAAAUUUCUAAUGGUAAGGUCAAAUGAAGGUUAUUAGUUUUUAUUGAAUAAU
This is a non-coding RNA of Plutella xylostella (diamondback moth), 776 nucleotides long. The record is from RefSeq and is a predicted model, not a curated record. Lineage: Eukaryota; Metazoa; Arthropoda; Insecta; Lepidoptera; Plutellidae.